CACUGUACAGCAAGGGGGUCAGGUUAUCCUUACAUGUAUACAUUACAAUUACAGUUUUUCCCCCACCAUUUCUUCUGUUGCAACAUGAGUAUCUAGACAUAGUUCUCAAUGCUAUUCAGCAGGAUCUCCUUGUAAAUCUAUUCUAGGUUGUGACUGAUAAGCCCAAGCUCCCGAUCCCUCCCACUCCCUCCCCCUCCCAUCAGGCAACCACAAGUCUCUUCUCCAAGUCCAUGAUUUUCUUUUCUGAGGAGAUGUUCAUUUGUGCUGGAUAUUAGAUUCCAGUUAUAAGUGAUAUCAUAUGGUAUUUGUCUUUGUCUUUCUGGCUCAUUUCACUCAGUAUGAGAUUCUCUAGUUCCACCCAUGUUGCUGCAAAUGGCAUGAUGUCAUCCUUUUUUAUGGCUGAGUAGUAUUCCAUCGUGAAUUUUUCAUUUGAAUCUUUUCCAGACUCAGUGGAGCUCCCUCGGGGACAAUCUUGUAUCAUGGAGUUUUCCUCUCUUCCACAAGUCUGUCCUGUAUCUCAUUCAUUUACUAAGCAGGCUUUUAGUAAGUACAUUUUGUUUCAGUAUUGCUGAGUAUUAAGAUGACACAGUUGAUUCAGAUGUAGUUCUUGCCUUCAAGGAACUUGAGACUUGUAGCCAAGAGAUUUAUUUGCCAGUUCAGAGGAGGAAGAGAUUCGAUUAAUUUGACGAGUUUGUGUGAAAUGAGUGGGUAAAUGACAGUGUCAUCAAGUAUUGUUGGAUAUGGUCAAGAAUUGUGGUCUUCAGAGAAGUAAUUCAGUACCCUUCUUGAGAGAGGCCAAACUUCUUUUGCCUUUACAUCUCUCUGAGUACCUCCAAAUGAUUCCCUUCAAAACUAAACAAACAGAAUUUGGAGAUGGAAAUCUUUGAGGCUGAUGCAAACAUCAUUAGAAAUAUAUGCUCUUCUAUUUACUUGCUGCCUCCCUCUCUCUCUCUUUUUUUUUUUUUUUUUUUUUUGUCUUUUCUAGGUUCCCAGGCUAGGGGUCUAAUCGGAGCUCCAGCUGCCGGGCUACACCAGAGCCACUGCAACGCUGGAUCUGAGCUGAGUCUGUGACCUACAUCACAGCUCACGGCAACGCCGGAUCCUUAAGCCACUGAGUGAGGGCAGGGAUCAAACCCGCAACCUCAGGGUUCCCAGUCGAAUAUGCUAACCACUGCGUUACAACGGGAACUCCUAUUUACUUGUUAAAGAGAAUAAUAUACACCUUUCCCACUUUUGUUUAUUCGAUUUUUACGUUUUUGUACGAUAUUAUAUUUUCAAGUACAGAGAAAUUUUCCACUCUGUCCACUCUUUUUUUUUUAAAUUUUGUAACACUUAUAUCCUAGUUGAUCUUUUCAGUUUUAUUUCUCACUUUUUCUCUGUAAACACUUUAUGCUCCAUGAUCAUCCAACAUUCUUUACAUACUCUGUAUCCCCCACUCUCUGUCUUUGUUCACAUUAUUCUUCUCUCCAUCACCUGACACAAUUCUGUCUCAUGAUUUCAUGCAUAAAUCAGGCUUAGGUUUUGAAAUUCAACUAAAAUGUUGAUCACUCUAUGAAAAAGUUUUUUUUUUUUUAAUCACCUUUCAGCUGGAAAUUCUUUCAGAUUCCUAAAGAGGUUGUCUGUACUUAUUUUUACAGAUUUUACUACUUGACACCUUAUGUAGUUAUUAUUCUCAACAUUUAUCUGGCUUUUUAGAGCUGUUUAAGGGCAUUCAAGAAGAAUGUUCUAGAAGUUCCAUCUCAUGUCUCCCAUAAAAGCCCCUGCUCAAGACUUUAGAUCUGGUCAGUGCACCACAAUGUCUAGCACGAGGUGUUUGUAUGUCUGGGGGCCAAGUGGGUGAACUGGAAGUCAAAAUGAUGAGGUUAUAAAAGUUAAUUUUCGAGCAUUGUGGUGCACUCCUGGGCAUGGAUCCAGAAAAUACCAUAAUUCAAAAGGAUACACACACUACAAUGUUCACUGAGGCACUAUUACAGUAGCCAAGACAUGAAAGCAAUCUAAAUGUCCAUCAACAGAGGAUUGGAUAAAGAUGUGGUACAUAUAUGCAGUGGAAUAUUACUCAGCCAUAAAAAGUAAAAAAAUAAUGCCUUUUGCAGCAAUAUGAAUGGACCUAGAAAUUAUCAUACUAAGUGAAGUAAGUUAGAGAAAA
RNAcentral lists this long non-coding RNA (2146 nucleotides) under Sus scrofa (pig). RNAcentral describes it as "lncRNA (ENSSSCG00035028699.1)". The record is from RNAcentral. Lineage: Eukaryota; Metazoa; Chordata; Mammalia; Artiodactyla; Suidae.